GUUACCAUUGUUUUGUUUGUUUGACGCUGAUUGCUUUGACACGAAGGGUUGAAAAGGUCCUACUGGCAGGCAAGCCUGCCGAGGAAACAAAGGGUGCGCAAAAAACAGGGUUGAAUAGAACCGGUCAGACCGGCCUACCAUACGUAAUGAUCCUUCCGCAGGUUCACCUACGGAAA
Molecule: unclassified non-coding RNA, 176 nt
Filed under: uncultured fungus
Lineage: Eukaryota; Fungi
Description: sequence contains ITS1
Source: RNAcentral